GAUGAACGCUGGCGGCGUGCCUAAUACAUGCAAGUCGAGCGAACAGACGAGGAGCUUGCUCCUCUGACGUUAGCGGCGGACGGGUGAGUAACACGUGGAUAACCUACCUAUAAGACUGGGAUAACUUCGGGAAACCGGAGCUAAUACCGGAUAAUAUAUUGAACCGCAUGGUUCAAUAGUGAAAGACGGUUUUGCUGUCACUUAUAGAUGGAUCCGCGCCGCAUUAGCUAGUUGGUAAGGUAACGGCUUACCAAGGCAACGAUGCGUAGCCGACCUGAGAGGGUGAUCGGCCACACUGGAACUGAGACGCGGACCAGACUCCUACGGGAGGCAGCAGUAGGGAAUCUUCCGCAAUGGGCGAAAGCCUGACGGAGCAACGCCGCGUGAGUGAUGAAGGUCUUCGGAUCGUAAAGCUCUGUUAUUAGGGAAGAACAAAUGUGUAAGUAACUAUGCACGUCUUGACGGUACCUAAUCAGGAAGCCACGGCUAACUACGUG
RNAcentral lists this ribosomal RNA (497 nucleotides) under uncultured bacterium. Its description in RNAcentral is "partial 16S ribosomal RNA". It matches the Rfam family "Bacterial small subunit ribosomal RNA", at positions 28 to 507 of the family's 1533-position model. The record is from RNAcentral.